Equus caballus (horse) is the source of this 5346-nucleotide long non-coding RNA. The record is from Ensembl. Lineage: Eukaryota; Metazoa; Chordata; Mammalia; Perissodactyla; Equidae.
CCCCACUGCACAAGUGCUGGUCAUGCCUUCUCUAGUGGCCACUGGAACACGGCGCUGUUGGAGAAAGGCGCCCUCCCUCCUGCUGAUCACUCUGGGCUUAUUUGCCCUUAAUGGCUGUUCUGGAGAUUUAUUCUUUCUUCUUUUGAAUCUGUGAUAUAUUUACGGUAGUUUUUCCUAUUUUAGUCAAGUUUUGUCAAUGUUUUUAGUCUGAAUAUUGAUAAGUAAACCAUUACUAUGUGCAUCUCUCUUUUUUGAGGUCCGCCCUCCCUCCUUGACUUAGUGGCAUCCAAGAUCUGUUACACAACUCACACUGGGCCCUGACCAGGUUUACUUGGUAGCUGCUCCAUAUGCUGAUGUGAUUAAUGAACACGGCUGUCUGUAAAUUGUUUCGUAAUAUCAGGGCUCUCUGUGAUAAGGAGGGUUGGGUCAUAGGCUCUAGAUCCCAAUGACCUGAGAUGCUUUCAAACAUCUCCCCCUCCAAAAUAAAAUAAACACACAAAAAAUCUGUAGCUGUAAAACCGGAGACGGUUUGGGUCCUUCUAAAGAGCUUCCUGGGUUGGAUUGACUUCAUGUACAUAUUGGGGAGUUUCUGCUUGCUCAUAUUCCACUGUCCUUCUCUUACACUUUGUCUAAUUGGAAAGGUCCACUGAGAUACAAGAGGAGAGAAGAACUCAAGUGUGUACCUGUAGGCUCCAGAUCACACACCGGAGGGAGUCCCAUGUGCCCUGAGGGGGAUCGGCGGUAGGAAAGUCACAACUGUGGACUUCACCCAGCUUCCAUGCUGCAGGCUCACCAUUUUAGUCUCCCCUUCUUGCUGACAUCACAACCGUAGGUCCAGGCACCCAGCAAGUGUGUCAGGCCAGCUCUGUGCCUGGAAUUCCUCCUGGGAUGUUUCUCACAACAUCUUACAUCUUAAUCUUUUGUGCUUGAACACAGUGAGCCUCAGCCAGAUCUGAGCACAAGAGCCUGGGAGGGAGGGAAGGUCUCCGCUCUGACCCCUCACAGAGCAGAGUCCCUGCUGUGGAGGACUGUGUAUCUGCUGGAUGGACCCUGGGUUCCCACAAGAAGAAAUCUAGCAAAGGCUAAUUUCCCAUCUUUCAAGACAAACAGCCCAGCUACAAAGGCUCUCAUUUUAUCACACAUGGGUCACCAGGCAAAGAUGCAGUGUCAUCAUGAGAUUUGUAUUUUGUUUGGUUUGGUUUUCAUUUUGGUGUUUGUUUACCUGAGAUUGCAGGUAUAUUGACUGGAAAAUUGGGAAGACAGCCGAUGUGAACCAGAAACUACUUCCAGGCACAGCUACUGCGUCUACAAGUUACUGUAAAAUUGCAGAAGCGUCUAUUCCAAGUGCCUGAGUGGGCUGAGGUAUUUGUCCCAAUUUCCCAUCUGCCUGUGUCACUGUGAGAAGCCCUAUUGUGCACAAUCACACAGUAAUAAUCAGCCUCAUCCUCUGGCUGCUGCCCAGAGAUGAGCAGAAUCCUUGCGUUGGCCGAGGCAUCUUUGGAUCCAGAGAAGCAGCUGGGGACCUGGAGCCUGGUGCUUCUCUGAAUCUGUGUGGUAGUAGAGGAGAUGCUGGGAAGGGGACCGUGCAUUCUGCUGGUACCCACGCUGCUUUGAGUAAAAAUCCUCCCUGAGCCGCUGUGUAGGGUCCACAGGGCAGUCCCACAUCACCCCCUGCUGGUCAUAUGUGGAAAAAUGAAAAAUGCAAGAGAUAAUGUCUGUGAAAAACUGGUAAAAUACGUGCUUUUCUAGGAAGGAUCAAAAUUGGCUCUACUGGAAAUAAAACAAGUAAGCUUACCUAUUUUAAUACAGAAAUGCAAAAUGUUAUGGACCCAUUCCACAGAAUGACUGAACAGACAGAUAUUCUCACAUGGAAGCUCUAAAAACAUCAGAGACCAGAGGGUUCCAAUCUACUUGCUCUAUUUUUAAAUAACACUUAAAAGGAUGGAAAACUUACCAGUUCUUUUAGAGAUCAGUUAUAUCAGUUAUAAUGCAUGUUACAGUUAAAUUACAGAAAAAUAAAAAUGGCAGACGAACAACAUUAGAUAUUAUGCAAAUGUUCUAAAUAGAAUAUUAACGAAGAGAUCUCAAUACUAGAUUAAUGAAUUGAUGAAUUAUUAUCAAGUGUCAUUGAUUCCAAUGAUGCAAGUUGUAUGCAAUAGUAAGAAAUAUUUUAAUAUAACACACAAUAUAAAUAUAUAUAGAUAGAUAUGAUCAUAUGGUCUCAAAUGAUACUGGAAGGGAUUUUGACCAAAUUUAGCAUCAAUUCCUAAUAAAAGCCACAUAAAACUAAAAGCCACAAACAGAAACAUUUAUAAUACGGCCAGACACACUCUCUCACACACGUAUAAUGAAAUCCUAGUGGCAGCAUCUUAGUCAAUGGAGUGGUAAAGGGCAGCAUUUCCAAAAAGAUCAGCAAUAGGCAAAGGUGAUUCCCUUUGCCCAUGUACCUCCAUUAAUAUUCCACAGUAUUCUGCAAGCAUGAGAAAAUCCAAUUAAAGUAAUGAUAUCAAUGGUUUGGACAUAGAAUUCACGGGAACAAAGAAGUAGACAUUCUUAAUGAUCCAAAUGAACGUUGUGGCCUUAGAUACUCUGGUCCCAGUGCAGAAGUGACAGCAGAGAUCACCCCAGUGAGUGACUAGUCACUAACACUCACUAGUACUGGUAACAGGUAAUGACAGAGGCAUGUGAGUGGAACAGGGGGAGCAAAGGGGAGGUCUUGGUCCACCUGCCCAGCAGUGAAGAGCAUCUUGUAAGAUAUUAGGCAGUCACCUGAGGUCUGGGGUAAUCAUCUGCAUCCCACUCACACUGCAUCCCAAGUAACAUCAGUCAUCACACUUAUGGGGCUUCUGUCUCACAGCCAGAAUAAGCCACAUGCAGACUUCCAGGGCAGAAAGUGUGGACUUUCUGCCCAAGUGACCAACACACUGAGACAGGCAUUGUGAGUCUGGUGUCACAGCACCUGCUCCAUGUGGAACCAAGGAGAAGGCAGGUCCUGUGCCUAAAAUCUUGUAAAGGUCCCCUACCAGAAGCUGGAAGAACAAGACUUCCGGGUUUGGUUGAGGCACCACUGAGCUCUGUCUCCUGAGGGUCCACUGUGCGGACUCCGCCAACAAGCUGUGUCUUGUCUUCCCAGGAGCCCACUUCCUCCUUGGAAGUGCAUUGGGGCUCCUAAUGGUCUGUCAGCCCCACCUUGUUCAAGACUCCCUGAGGAAAAAGGAGGCGAUGACCUACAUUGGAAGCCAUCAGUUAGGAAGCCAAAACCAGGAGCUCACAGGGUCACGGGAAGCCUCACGGGUGAAGGCAAGUCCCACAUCAGUGAGGACACAGGUCGCCCAACUGCCCUGGAGCCCACUGAGUGGUUGAACAUCUGUCUGACCCAACACCUGCCUCUCCUAAGUCUGAGGACACUCCAUUGCUGCCCCUGCUGGUGACUGCCCAUCCCGCAGCCGCUGUGACAUCCCUAAGCACACCACGCAGAGUGUUCGAUUUUACAGCAGUCUUCCCCAACGUUACUCCCAAGAGAGUGGAAUGAGAAAGGCCUUCUAGGAUUACAUGGGGACAGUGAUGCUCUCACACCUGCACUUCUAUUUUCAUGAAAAACUAUAAUUAUUUUCAAACUGUCAGUCUCUGUCCAUUCCACCCUAGAGCUCCAACCUUGCCUGCUGUGGCAGACACUGACCUCGGUGUGUGAGAGGACAGUGAAAGGGCGCAACAGGGACACACCUAUGCUGACACGGCCCUGUGUGCAUGUGGGUUGUGCACAUGGCUCUGUGUUUUCCUGUGGGUUGUGCACAUGGCUCUGUGUGCAUGUGGGGCGUGCAGAUGGCACAUUGUGCAUGUGGGGUGUGCCCUGGGAUAUUGGGACAGAGGAGCCUGGACAAAGCUGUGAUAUGUAAGCUUGGAUCUGUGGGAUGAGUCAAGUGAUCACCCUGGGAAAGACUGGAAGAGCCUUCAAAUCAGAGGUCAGGUCAUGUACCGAGGUCAGGAAAAGAGGGGAGGCUGGUUGCUGGUGAUGCUGGUGGAUGGCCACUUGAGGUCGGAGAGAUGGACCCUCUAAGCAGGGGAACCCAGCACCUCCAAAUGGAAUAGAAAAGAAAAAUCUCGAAAAAUUAAUAUUCUCUUACUUAAACCUUGAAAUCCUUUAUUACACAUUUUUAAGGUGUAUGAAUGUGCAUCUUCAUAUAGCCACAAAUGCAUUCACAAUGAUGUUGCCUAUACAUUUGUUAAUCAUGCAGAUGAAGAAAUUUUCACUUAUUGUAUUAUUUUUAAUACUCCUGAAUAGGCCACACAAUUGUCAGCUGGAACCCAGUCCCUGUGCUUUCCUUGGCAGUGAAUGCUGCUCUGGGAGGUCCCCAUGCACUGGGUGAGCCUGGGGAGCUCAGGGUUUGUGUCUCCUUCCCCACUGGCCUGGGGCCCCACGUGUGCACUGAGGCUGCUGUCCCACAAGGAGCAGUAAUAAUCAGCCUCGGUCCAGGCUGGAGCCCAGAGAUGCUCAGGGGGCCACACUGCCUCACCUGGAGCCAGAGAAUCUCUCGGAGACCCCAGAGGCCCAGAUGUUAUUCCUGCUGGUCAGGAGUGUGGGGACAUGGCCUUGGGGUUGCUGCUGCAGCCAUGCUUCUCCCUCAUGGCCUACAUUUUUGCUCUUUCCAGUGCAGGAGCUUGGGAUCGUGUGAGAUCCGUGUCGGCUCCAGUGCAGUCUCUAGGUCUUUCUUGUUUCUGACAUGACUGGAGUCAGCCUCCCUCUGUCCCCAUCACUGUCUCUCUGGAGAGACCGGGUGCCCUGGAAAAGGAGCUCCUGCCUGUGUGGACAUGAGCAGGCAGAGGGUGCAUCGAUGGGAAUGGCUCAGUCUACAGGGGAUCAGAGGAACGGACAUGCUUAGAUCGACAGACCCAUGUAGGGGGCUCAGACCCUCAGAUGCUGGUGACAGAGGUGAUGUCAAUCACAGAGGAGUGAAGGUGUGAUCAGGGGCCCCAGGGGGGUGGUUUAUGUCUCACUUCCUCGUGGGCACACAGCACUGAGUACACUGAGGUCUCUGUCAUAUGUGUGACAGUAACAAUCACCUCGUCCUCAGGCUGGAGCCCACAGAUGGUCAAAGAGACCACGUUGCCUGACUUGGAGACAGAGAAUCAUCUGGAAUCUCUCAGGGCCUGGUACUUCCAAGAGUCAGAGUUUUGGGGCAGCACCACUGACAGCUGGAACCAACACACACUAUGGGAUCCAAUGUUGCUGUUCCCGGAGCAGGAGAUGGUGACCUCCUGGUCCAGGGUCCCUGACACCGAGGAUGGCUGGGUCAGCAAAGACCGUGCCCAGGACCCUGAAAUGAGGGACACAGAGUCACAGAGGUG